CCAGACUCCUACGGGAGGCAGCAGUGGGGAAUAUUGCACAAUGGGCGAAAGCCUGAUGCAGCGACGCCGCGUGAGGGAUGACUGCCUUCGGGUUGUAAACCUCUUUCAGCAGGGACGAAGCGCAAGUGACGGUACCUGCAGAAGAAGCACCGGCCAACUACGUGCCAGCAGCCGCGGUAAUACGUAGGGUGCAAGCGUUGUCCGGAAUUAUUGGGCGUAAAGAGCUCGUAGGCGGUCUGUC
Molecule: ribosomal RNA, 241 nt
Filed under: bacterium Fuku2-ISO-80
Lineage: Bacteria
Description: partial 16S ribosomal RNA
Rfam family: Bacterial small subunit ribosomal RNA
Source: RNAcentral